CUGGACACAAACAAAUUUUCUUGCUCAACUACUACUUGGCUUUGUACCUUCUUCUUUUCCUGUGUGAAAAAGAAGGGCACGAUAACCGGACAAUGACUUACCGGAUUGACUUCUAGAUAUUAAAGCUAACAUGGGACUGCUAAUUUCGUAUAGACUUUGAAUGGAAAAAAUUGAGCAUGUGAGCCCCUGUUGUUUGAGCAUGUUGUACUGGGAUAGAGACUAAUGGCCCAAUGGGGCCUUUGACUGGAAUGAUUAUUGUCAUGCAAUCAUCGGAAAUCAUAUUUAGCCAAACAUAGCACAAGCAAGAGAAUACCUACCUCGUCAUACAAGAAAACUUUCUUUC
Juglans regia (Persian walnut) is the source of this 343-nucleotide long non-coding RNA. RefSeq lists it as uncharacterized. The transcript has 3 exons. The record is from RefSeq and is a predicted model, not a curated record. Lineage: Eukaryota; Viridiplantae; Streptophyta; Magnoliopsida; Fagales; Juglandaceae.